CUUGGUCAUUUAGAGGAAGUAAAAGUCGUAACAAGGUCUCCGUAGGUGAACCUGCGGAGGGAUCAUUACUGAGUGUGGGCUCCGGCCCUACCUCCAACCCCAUGUCGAAACGACUCUGUUGCCUCGGGGGCGACCCGGCCUUCGGGCGUCGGGGCCCCCGGUGGACACCUUCAUAACUCUUGCAUCUCUUGCGUCUGAGUGAUACAUAUAAUCAAUCAAAACUUUCAACAACGGAUCUCUUGGUUCUGGCAUCGAUGAAGAACGCAGCGAAAUGCGAUAAGUAAUGUGAAUUGCAGAAUUCAGUGAAUCAUCGAAUCUUUGAACGCACAUUGCGCCCCCUGGCAUUCCGGGGGGCAUGCCUGUUCGAGCGUCAUUACACCACUCAAGCCUGGCUUGGUAUUGAGCGCCGCGGCCUGCCCGCGCGCUCCAAUGUCUCCGGCUGAGCCGUCCGUCUCUAAGCGUUGUGAAUAGCGAUCGCUUGCGAGGCCCGGGCGGUUCGACGCCGUUAAACCCCCCAUUUUCUAUGGUUGACCUCGGAUCAGGUAGGGAUACCCGCUGAACUUAAGCAUAUCAAUAAGCGGAGGA
This 585-nucleotide ribosomal RNA is filed under the name Hortaea sp. F47. Its description in RNAcentral is "eukaryotic LSU rRNA". The stretch from base 220 to 373 matches the Rfam family "5.8S ribosomal RNA". Lineage: Eukaryota; Fungi; Ascomycota; Dothideomycetes; Mycosphaerellales; Teratosphaeriaceae. The record is from RNAcentral.